AUUACUUUGGCAGAUUAGUGCAGUAAAUUUAGAAUUUAUUUAUGUAAAUAUUUUACAGGUAAUA
This 64-nucleotide transfer RNA is filed under the name Deuteronectes picturatus. Its description in RNAcentral is "tRNA-Leu". Lineage: Eukaryota; Metazoa; Arthropoda; Insecta; Coleoptera; Dytiscidae. The record is from RNAcentral.